Small nuclear RNA from Mustela putorius furo (domestic ferret), 108 nucleotides. NCBI's taxonomy places the organism in Eukaryota, Metazoa, Chordata, Mammalia, Carnivora, Mustelidae. The record is from Ensembl.
CUGCAGCAGCAUCUAUAUAGAUAAUCUGUAUCUGGAAUGAUACAGAAAUUAUUUAGCAUGGCCCUGCACAAGGAUGACAUGCAAAUUUGUGGAGUGUUCUAUAUUAAA